Molecule: ribosomal RNA, 406 nt
Filed under: uncultured bacterium
Lineage: Bacteria
Description: partial 16S ribosomal RNA
Rfam family: Bacterial small subunit ribosomal RNA
Source: RNAcentral
AUUGAACGCUGGCGGCAGGCCUAACACAUGCAAGUCGAACGAGUGGCGGACGGGUGAGUAAUGUAUGGGAACCUGCCUGAUAGAGGGGGAUAACUACUGGAAAGGGUAGCUAAUACCGCAUACCAUCAGAUGUGCCCAGAUGGGAUUAGCUAGUUGGUGGGGUAACGGCUCACCAAGGCGACGAUCCGUAGCUGGUCUGAGAGGAUGACCAGCCACACUGGAACUGAGACACGGCCCGGACUCCUACGGGAGGCAGCAGUGGGGAAUAUUGAACAAUGGGGGCAAGCCUGAUCCAGCCAUGCCGCGUGUAUGAAGAAGGCCUUCGGGUUGUAAAGUACUUUCAGCGGGGAGGCGUUACCUGCAGAAGAAGCACCGGCUAACUCCGUGCCAGCAGCCGCGGUAAUUC